CUAUCACUUCCUUUCUUCUGAAGUUAGCAUGCUAACCAGCUAGCCUCAGCCCAUCCCAGUCAUCCCAGGAUGAAGAAGUAGCAUUGCCUGCCCAUGACAUAGUGGCAUCAGUUGUCAUACCUUCAUUAAAAAGUUGCAUAGUCUCUUUGAAGGGCUCAGCACAGAAGAUGUUUGCAGUUUAUUUGCACCUAUAAGUCCAGAAACAUCCACCAAGAGUCAGUCCAACUUACUCAGCUUAAAAUCUCAAGCAAAGACCAGUGACAGCCUGGAAUUUGGUGUUUUCCUAAACUGACAAAACCCCUGAGAUGAGAGGAGUUGAACGCACACAUGUAGGCCGACCUGCACAGGUAAGAUACAACAGCAACUCAAUGACGGCAACAAAAUGAGGGGGAAAUUUUUUAUCAUGUGUUUUCAUGGAGCUACUUUGCCGCCAUAUUCUAUCUCUGUUGUAUGUUGGUCGAUGGUAUUUGGUGAAAAAGCUUCUGAAACUGCACAAGGUGACAUCUUUACAUUUCUUGUUUCAUCCAACAAAAAGUCCAAAAUCUAAAAAUAUUCCAUUUAUUUUGAUAUAAAACUGAAACACAGCAAAUCCUCAUAUUUGACAAUGUUUGAUAUUUUUGCUUGAUAAAUAAUUAACAUGCUUAAUUGGCUAUCAAAAUAGUUGACAAUAGGUUUUCCAUCUGUGUAAUUAACUAAUCAUUUUAGCCCAGGUAUAUAUAUAUAUAUAUUUACAGACCAUGAUAUGAUUUCAAAGUGGGAAUUUAAUUUGAAUCUGUUACAUAACAGUUGUUAUGAGAUAACAGCCAAACACUUUGAGAAUAGUUUUAUUUUGACUUGAAUAAUCUGAUCAGUGACCAGCUGAUGUGUGAGUGUGAUGCCGUCAGUGUAGGGCUCUCUCCCAUAGUGUUUCACAGGAUGUCUGUUACAUGUCUGAAUGUGUCGGUCUCCUGACUGCUGCGCAGUUAUUUUCAGAACUACUUGUAGUUCAUAAAUCCACCAGAGACCCACGCUCUGCUCAUUACGGCUAAAGUAAAUGUAAUUUCACAUGAUGGUUCUGCUCUCAGAAUAGGAUGUGAUGGAUGUUUCCAUUUUGAAGAGUGCCUCUCAAUUAAAACUCACUCCUGUAACAUCUGCAGUUUGGUGAAAGCUUUCUAUCUAAAAUAGAAACACAGAGGGAACAGGAACCAAAACGUCCGUACUCAUUCAGACGUACAGCGAGGGAACUAAGCCGCUGUGUCUAAACAAGCCUUUCACAUACAUUUAAAAACAGCAGAGAAAUUCAGAGUAACACACAACAAAAUACACCACCGCCACUUAGUCACUUGAUGUUGAACAGGUUUAAUUAAACUUAAAACCCCAGUGAAUCAUUUCAGAAAUCUCCAGGUGCAAGUAGCAAAACAAUCAUGUGGUUUUUGUUUUGUUCUGUUUUUUUUUUUUUUUUUUGUUUUUUUUUUG
This is a long non-coding RNA of Lates calcarifer (barramundi perch), 1455 nucleotides long. RefSeq lists it as uncharacterized. NCBI's taxonomy places the organism in Eukaryota, Metazoa, Chordata, Actinopteri, Centropomidae. The record is from RefSeq and is a predicted model, not a curated record. The transcript is spliced from 3 exons.